UGUGAAGACUACUGGAAAUUA
This 21-nucleotide non-coding RNA is filed under the name Caenorhabditis elegans. The record is from RNAcentral. Lineage: Eukaryota; Metazoa; Nematoda; Chromadorea; Rhabditida; Rhabditidae.